This 76-nucleotide transfer RNA is filed under the name Clostridia bacterium. RNAcentral describes it as "tRNA-Thr". It matches the Rfam family "tRNA". Rfam says of the family: Transfer RNA (tRNA) molecules are approximately 80 nucleotides in length. Lineage: Bacteria; Bacillati; Bacillota; Clostridia. The record is from RNAcentral.
GCUUGCAUAGCUCAGUAGGUAGAGCACUACCUUGGUAAGGUAGAGGUCACCAGUUCGAUCCUGGUUGUAAGCUCCA